RNAcentral lists this ribosomal RNA (539 nucleotides) under uncultured bacterium. RNAcentral describes it as "bacterial SSU rRNA". It matches the Rfam family "Bacterial small subunit ribosomal RNA", at positions 355 to 896 of the family's 1533-position model. The record is from RNAcentral.
UGAGGAAUAUUGGUCAAUGGUCGGAAGACUGAACCAGCCAUGCCGCGUGCAGGAAGAAUGCCUUAUGGGUUGUAAACUGCUUUUAUAUGGGAAGAAUAAGGUGUACGUGUACAUUGAUGACGGUACCAUAUGAAUAAGCAUCGGCUAACUCCGUGCCAGCAGCCGCGGUAAUACGGAGGAUGCGAGCGUUAUUCGGAAUCAUUGGGUUUAAAGGGUCUGUAGGCGGGCUAUUAAGUCAGGGGUGAAAGGUUUCAGCUUAACUGAGAAAUUGCCUUUGAUACUGGUAGUCUUGAAUAUCUGUGAAGUUCUUGGAAUGUGUAGUGUAGCGGUGAAAUGCUUAGAUAUUACACAGAACACCGAUUGCGGAGGCAGGGGACUAACAGACGAUUGACGCUGAGAGACGAAAGCGUGGGGAGCGAACAGGAUUAGAUACCCUGGUAGUCCACGCUGUAAACGAUGGAUACUAGCUGUUUGGAGAAAUUUGAGUGGCUAAGCGAAAGUGAUAAGUAUCCCACCUGGGGAGUACGCACGCAAGUGUG